UGAAUCUCCAGUCCAUAUCCACUGAAAACUAUGAUGAUAACCAAAUGCAUGAGGACCCUGGUGCAGAUGAAACACAUACACGUGGGUUGCUCCACUGCCUCCUGCUGGCUGCCUGCUUAUGGUCUCAGAAAGGCAAUUUGCCAGGUUCAUGCAUACUGGAGGAAGAGGAGGUCAGAUGGGAGGAAGAAGGACACUGCCAGCAAGACCUGAAGUUUUCAGGAGAGGAAGAUUUAAUCCACUGACCCAAGAUACUCUGUGCAGGGGGCCUCAGCAAGCCCUAAGAAAGGAGAAGAGCGGGACUGCAAGUAGUACGGAGGUGGCCUGAUGAAGGGGGUAACUUGUGCCAUCCCAGCAUUUCCUCAGCUCCUGUGGUCUGAUGGGAAUCAUUUUAUCUCCCUGCUCUAAGAGAAAGACUGAAAUACUCUGAUACGUUGUUGGUGGAGCACAGUAAUGUACUUUUUAGAGUCAAACGUACACAUGUGAGCUAGGGAAUGAUUCUCUAUUAAAUAAAAACAAAAAAAGAGUUACGGGGGGACA
RNAcentral lists this long non-coding RNA (537 nucleotides) under Chrysolophus pictus (golden pheasant). RNAcentral describes it as "lncRNA (ENSCPIG00010012907.1)". The record is from RNAcentral. Lineage: Eukaryota; Metazoa; Chordata; Aves; Galliformes; Phasianidae.